GACGAACGCUGGCGGCGUGCCUAAUACAUGCAAGUUGAGCGCUGAAGGUUGGUACUUGUACCGACUGGAUGAGCAGCGCACGGGUGAGUAACGCGUGGGGAAUCUGCCUUUGAGCGGGGGACAACAUUUGGAAACGAAUGCUAAUACCGCAUAAAAACUUUAAACACAAGUUUUAAGUUUGAAAGAUGCAAUUGCAUCACUCAAAGAUGAUCCCGCGUUGUAUUAGCUAGUUGGUGAGGUAAAGGCUCACCAAGGCGAUGAUACAUAGCCGACCUGAGAGGGUGAUCGGCCACAUUGGGACGGAGACACGGCCCAAACUCCUACGGGAGGCAGCAGUAGGGAAUCUUCGGCAAUGGACGAAAGUCUGACCGAGCAACGCCGCGUGAGUGAAGAAGGUUUUCGGAUCGUAAAACUCUGUUGGUAGAGAAGAACGUUGGUGAGAGUGGAAAGCUCAUCAAGUGACGGUAACUACCCAGAAAGGGACGGCUAACUACGUG
RNAcentral lists this ribosomal RNA (497 nucleotides) under uncultured bacterium. RNAcentral describes it as "partial 16S ribosomal RNA". It matches the Rfam family "Bacterial small subunit ribosomal RNA", at positions 28 to 507 of the family's 1533-position model. The record is from RNAcentral.